This 252-nucleotide ribosomal RNA is filed under the name uncultured prokaryote. Its description in RNAcentral is "partial 16S ribosomal RNA". It matches the Rfam family "Bacterial small subunit ribosomal RNA", at positions 525 to 775 of the family's 1533-position model. The record is from RNAcentral.
ACAGAGGCGGCAAGCGUUGUUCGGAAUUAUUGGGCGUAAAGAGCAUGUAGGCGGCUAUGUAAGUCAGUUGUGAAAGCCUUCCGCUUAACGGAAGAAUGGCGGUCGAAACUGCAUGGCUUGAGUGCGGGAGGGGAGCGUGGAAUUCCUGGUGUAGCGGUGAAAUGCGUAGAUAUCAGGAGGAACACCGGUGGCGAAAGCGACUCUCUAGACCGUAACUGACGCUGAGUGUGCGAAAGCUAGGGGAGCAAACGG